This 250-nucleotide unclassified non-coding RNA is filed under the name Hevea brasiliensis (rubber tree). The record is from RNAcentral. Lineage: Eukaryota; Viridiplantae; Streptophyta; Magnoliopsida; Malpighiales; Euphorbiaceae.
AAGAGAGCAAAUCAUCUGGUUCUACUUGAUCCCCCAUAAAACUUGUUGCUGCGUUUGCUGUAGCCGAUCCAUACGUUGUUGAUUCAUGAUGCACACAUGAACUUUCUCUAGAAGAACCAGGUUGCUGCAAUAUAGAAUUUUCAGUUGAACUAGUGCAGUUAGUGCUAUUUUCACUCGAUUCACUGCUGUGAACAGCUGUUUUUUUGUCAUCUGACUCUGUACUGGAGAUUGUGAAAAACUUCUGACCAAG